This 346-nucleotide ribosomal RNA is filed under the name uncultured soil bacterium. RNAcentral's name for it is "bacterial SSU rRNA". It matches the Rfam family "Bacterial small subunit ribosomal RNA", at positions 26 to 369 of the family's 1533-position model. The record is from RNAcentral.
AGAUUGAACGCUGGCGGCAUGCCUUACACAUGCAAGUCGAACGGUAGAGUAGCAAUACUCGAGAGUGGCGAACGGGUGAGUAAUAUAUCGGAACGUGCCCAGUAGCGGGGGAUAACUACGCGAAAGCGUGGCUAAUACCGCAUACGCCUACGGGGGAAAGGGGGGGAUUCUUCGAGAACCUCUCACUAUUGGAGCGGCCGAUAUCAGAUUAGCUAGUGGUGAGGUAAGGCUCACCAAGGCGACGAUCGUAGUAGCUGGUUGAGAGGACCGACCAGCCACGACGUGGGACUGGAGACACCGGGCCCAGACCGUCCGUACGGGAGCGAGCAGGUUGGGGAAUUUGGAC